This 485-nucleotide ribosomal RNA is filed under the name uncultured bacterium. RNAcentral describes it as "bacterial SSU rRNA". It matches the Rfam family "Bacterial small subunit ribosomal RNA", at positions 28 to 505 of the family's 1533-position model. The record is from RNAcentral.
GAUGAACGCUAGCGGCAGGCUUAAUACAUGCAAGUCGAGGGGCAGCACAUGAGUAGCAAUACGAUGGUGGCGACCGGCGCACGGGUGCGUAACGCGUAUGCAAUCUACCUUUAACAGAGGGAUAGCCCCGAGAAAUCGGGAUUAAUACCUCAUAAAAUUUUCACAUGGCAUCAUGAGAGAAUCAAAGCUGAGGCGGUUAAAGAUGAGCAUGCGUGACAUUAGCUAGUUGGAGAGGUAACGGCUCACCAAGGCGACGAUGUCUAGGGGUUCUGAGAGGAUGAUCCCCCACACUGGUACUGAGACACGGACCAGACUCCUACGGGAGGCAGCAGUAAGGAAUAUUGGUCAAUGGGCGGGAGCCUGAACCAGCCAUGCCGCGUGCAGGAAGACGGCCUUAUGGGUUGUAAACUGCUUUUAUCGGGGAAUAAAACUUCUACGCGUAGAGAGCUGAAGGUAACCGAACGAAUAAGCAUCGGCUAACUCCG